GACCGCAUAGCUCAGUUGGAAGAGCAUUGGGCUGGUAUUCCAAAGGUCGUAGGUUCGAAUCCCACCGUGGCCG
Molecule: transfer RNA, 73 nt
Filed under: Paramuricea clavata
Lineage: Eukaryota; Metazoa; Cnidaria; Anthozoa; Malacalcyonacea; Plexauridae
Rfam family: tRNA
About the family: Transfer RNA (tRNA) molecules are approximately 80 nucleotides in length. Their secondary structure includes four short double-helical elements and three loops (D, anti-codon, and T loops).
Source: Rfam by way of RNAcentral